This 467-nucleotide ribosomal RNA is filed under the name uncultured bacterium. RNAcentral describes it as "partial 16S ribosomal RNA". It matches the Rfam family "Bacterial small subunit ribosomal RNA", at positions 29 to 507 of the family's 1533-position model. The record is from RNAcentral.
ACGAACGCUGGCGGCGCGCCUAACACAUGCAAGUCGAACGGAGCUGAGAGAAGCUUGCUUUUCUUAGCUUAGUGGCGAACGGGUGAGUAACGCGUGAGUAACCUGCCCUUGAGUGGGGGACAACAGUUGGAAACGACUGCUAAUACCGCAUAAGCCCACGAUCCGGCAUCGGAUUGAGGGAAAAGGAUUUAUUCGCUUCAGGAUGGACUCGCGUCCAAUUAGCUAGUUGGUGAGGUAACGGCCCACCAAGGCGACGAUUGGUAGCCGGACGGAGAGGUUGGACGGCCACACUGGGACGGAGUCACGGCCCAGACUCCUACAGGACGAAGCAGUGGGGGAUAUUGCACAAUGGCGGAAACACUGAUGAUGCGACGCCGCGUAGAGGAAGAAUGUUUACGGAUUGUAAACUACUGUCGUUACUGACGAUAAUGACGGUACCUAACAAGAAAGCCCCGGCUAACUACGUG